UUUGUUGCAUCAUACGGUAAAAACGUUUUUUGACAAGCCAAAAACGAACGAGAGCAUCCGCAGAGCCAUAACCUCAACGCUUUUGCGAACAAUUUGUAAAAAGAAAUAUUUUG
Molecule: long non-coding RNA, 113 nt
Organism: Bradysia coprophila
Lineage: Eukaryota; Metazoa; Arthropoda; Insecta; Diptera; Sciaridae
Source: RefSeq, a predicted model, not a curated record